RNAcentral lists this ribosomal RNA (261 nucleotides) under uncultured bacterium. RNAcentral describes it as "partial 16S ribosomal RNA". It matches the Rfam family "Bacterial small subunit ribosomal RNA", at positions 93 to 354 of the family's 1533-position model. The record is from RNAcentral.
CCGGGACGCACGGGUGAGUAACACGUAUGGAACCUGCCCGCAGCAGGGGGAUAAGCGGAAGAAAUUCCGUCUAAUACCGCGUAACACCGCAGAGGGGCAUCCCUCGGCGGUUAAAGAUUCAUCGGCUGCGGAUGGCCAUGCGGCGCAUUAGCUAGUCGGCGGGGUAACGGCCCACCGAGGCGACGAUGCGUAGGGGUUCUGAGAGGAAGGUCCCCCACACUGGUACUGAGACACGGACCAGACUCCUACGGGAGGCAGCAG